This is a small nucleolar RNA of Arabis alpina (gray rockcress), 85 nucleotides long. It matches the Rfam family "Small nucleolar RNA U61". Lineage: Eukaryota; Viridiplantae; Streptophyta; Magnoliopsida; Brassicales; Brassicaceae. The record is from Rfam.
ACACUAUGAUGAACAAAAACUUGUGUCCUAGGCUUGUUGUUCAUCGUUGACGGUAUGACACAACCCUUUAAGAAGUUUUGAGCUU